GAACAUUAUGGGAUAUUGAAUAUAAGGCAUUCGUGUAGAGUAAGAAAAGGAGAGGUUAUAAAGCAAUUUAACUAAAUUGGAUUCUCUUUUCUCUGCUAAGGCAUUACUACUCCUCCCUGCACUCUCCUUUCCAAUUCGGCACCCUCACUCUCUCUUUUCUCCUCAAGGUUCCUUCUCUGUCCAGCCAUAUUGCCGAAUCCCUCCUCCCUUAUUACAACUUCAUGUAGUUCAUGUACAGUAAGCAUUAAAGCCAAGACAGGAUUACUAAAGUAAUACAACUGAGUAGUAAGGUAAUUCAAUUUACAUGUUCUAUGGCUUGUGUUUAUGGAGUUAACUAAUAGUAAGAUAAUUAGCAAUUUGUUUGGGGAUAAUUAGUUUCGGUAAAAUAAUUGAUUUUUUUUAUCAACUGAAAUUGGGUAUAUGAAAGCAUGGUUAACCGGGUUGUGUAUGGGAAUCAUAUCAAUUCAUAUUACAUACAUUUAAAAUCAAGAAAUAAAAGCUUAAAGGUUAGUAAGGUAUAGAUAGUAUGCAAAUUUGUUGAUUUCUCAUAUAUAUAGCUGUGUAUGGAACUGUUAUUGACUAAGAUAGAGCAAAGGAGGUAGGUUGGUUGUGCGGAGAUAUAAGGGAGUUAAAAUAGGAUGAUAGCACAAAUAAAUGGCUGUGAAAUGAGUGUUCAAAAACAGCGCACACCACUUGUUCGAUAAAAGUCCUCUAUGGACUGUUUUGGUUAAAAACUAAGAAUUAAGUAAAGUUGAGGCCAAAGUUAUAUAUAUAUAUAUAUAUAUAUACACUAUAUGUAGAUAUUUAAUAUGUAGAUAUUUAAAGGAUUUGAGCAAAUCAAAUUAGAACGAAAAGCAAUUUUAAGCCAAAACGAAAAAUUGAAAGAUAGUGUGUUGGGCCACUUUUGGGCUAACUGUUUCGGCUAGUUAGACUUGCUGGAAAAUUAUAAUUUUCUAGAUUCCUGUAGUAUGCAAUCCCAGCUAGCCAUAGUCUUUGGAACGGACUAAUUCUGAGUUCGGACAACUGAGUUAAGACUUGCCAAAGUGGGUACGCCAAAACUGCUCAAAUCUGGAAAACAGAUUCGAAGCAGUCCCCUUGCACGAAUUUUCUGGAAUUCUAUGUUUUGAAUUUGGAAAUGUCAAAGAAUGAAAGUUGUAGCCUCGGAAGUUAGCUUCGCGUGGGCUCAAGAAUCGGUCAAAAAUGUUUUGAAACGAAUUAGUUAUGACUGUUUUAGCGCAAGAAGGUAAAGCUGGGAAAAAGUUAAAAACUGUUAUGAUUGAGCAUUUUUAAGGCCUGUUUUGGAAUGUUUAUAAAACCCAAAAUGGGUGGUUUGUAUUUUCUUAAAAUAUUCUUCUAUGGUGACUAUAAUAUAUUAAAAUUUGGUAGCAAUCGGACUUGUGAGCAAAGAAUUAGAAAAUGACAAAGUAGCCGCGAAGCAUAGGAGUGUGCUGCCCAUAAGCAGCGGCAACAGCAGCAAGAAAGCUGCUACCUGCUGCCCUUUUAGAGCUUGCUUCUGACUCGCUUAGAAUGUCCAAAAUGUAUGGAUAGUAUUUUUUAAAAAUAGGUGGACAUACCACCUAUAACAUAUCCAAAAUUGGUCAGAAUCGCACAGGCGAAAUGGAAACUAAAAAUACGCGAAGUAGGGUGUCAGAACAUGUUCGCUGGCUGCUCAGACCAAGCCCUCCUGGGCCAAGCCAAGGGCAGCUGGGCCCAGUCUAACACGGCGACACGGUUUUCAAAACGAAAUGCAAUAUUUGAUGUCAUGAAAUGUAUUUCAAUGUACGGACGCGGAUUUCAAGGUUUUUGAUAGUUGAGUGUAUCCCGAAGCACCAAGAUGGAUAUGAAAUGCAGUCUAGCACCCAUAUGACGCGUAUAUUCGUUCCUAUUAUACUAGAAGCUAUGAAAAUAAUAUGUAAACAUAGGUUUACAUAUAUAAGGAUAAAUCAUCCGUAUAUUGGGAAUACGUAAAUAAUCAUCCGUAUAUUGGGAAUAUGUAAAUAAUGUGAAAGAGCUAUCAUAAAAGCUAAACCCCAGAAAUAAAUAGUUUUUGAAAUGCAAAGCAAGAAUUGCGCAUAUGGAGUUGAAAACUCAUUAUUGGUAUAUAUAAGCUAUGUAAAUACAUAAAAUAUACAAAUAACUUAUAUUUACAUACGAGCUAAGCAAGCAAGGCAUGAAUUUGCAUUACGGUUAAGGUAUAUAUGCAAAAGCAUAUAUAUACUUUACGUAUACAUUAAAAGUGAAAAGUACUGUUGUAUAAACACGUUAAGCAUUGAAAGAUAUUAUACAUGUAAAAUGGAGUCUAAGUUACUCACGAAAGCAAAGUUAAGCUACAAACACAAAGAAAGUCACGGAUGCACUAUGUAACUUUAAGUUUACAUAUAGAUGCAUAUUAAGCCUAUAAAUGCAAUGUAAAAAGUUUAUAAACUGUAAAUGUAGUGAAUUGACAUUUUAAAAGCCGUGUUGGAACUUUUUGAGAAUGUAUAACUAUAUUAAGCCGAAACCUAAAAUAUUCAAGAGGAAUAUGGAGGUUUCUUGGAAAUAAGAAUAUCAGAUAUUGAUAUAGUUUAUGUGAAUAUUUACUAACCAUACAGGUUAUGGGAUAUGAAUGUGUGACUAAUGUAUGCAUACAUGUGAGCAUAACUGUGUAGGAUUCGUGAAGUGAAGUUAAGCUAAAGUUUGUAUCAAUGGUCAUUGAAUGAGGCAAGUUUUUCAGUUCUAUUAUGUUUGUGGAUUAAAUGUGAUUAUGUGGUGAGUUACAUACCAUGCUUUAUGAAUUGUUAAAGUCAAAAUAUGACUAGUUAAUUGGGUUAUGGAACUCAAUUUAUAUGUGAUAUGUGAUAGCACAUGCUGUAUGAUGUAACUCGAUAAAUUAGAAAUGUAUAAUGCAUAAAUGUAUAUUUUGUAAGAAAUUAUUGAUGCAUGCGGAUAUGCAUAGUAAAGGAAAUAUAAUGCAUAUGGAAUUGUGUGCGAUGUGAAACAUGAUAGACUGUUAAAUUUGCUAGGCUGUCGAGCUCAAUCUUGCAAACACAAAUUUUUUGCAGGUUAAUCAUGUUUAGCAAUAUUACUUGCUAUACGGAUGAUGAAGAUUGAACGAUGUGCAAAAUGAAUACAUUUUCUUGAAUUAGAAAUUGUAUAAAUCUAUGAUUGAUAGUUUUGUUAAAUGUAAUUGGCAGUUAUGUAUAGUUUGAAAUAUUGAAUGGAUAAAGAAUUUUUAUUCUGAAAUGAGAAUAAAUAUUAUUGUAAAACAAGUGAAUUAUCGAUAGAAAAGA
Molecule: long non-coding RNA, 3269 nt
Filed under: Panax ginseng (ginseng)
Lineage: Eukaryota; Viridiplantae; Streptophyta; Magnoliopsida; Apiales; Araliaceae
Description: long non-coding RNA (PGIN_LNC017250)
Source: RNAcentral